Non-coding RNA from Nematostella vectensis (starlet sea anemone), 69 nucleotides. Lineage: Eukaryota; Metazoa; Cnidaria; Anthozoa; Actiniaria; Edwardsiidae. The record is from Rfam.
AGCAAAUGAUGAGUAUAACUUCUGGUCCGUGUUACUGAACCUCUGUGAUAACAUUAGAAGUUCUGAGCU